GACGAACGCUGGCGGCGUGCUUAACACAUGCAAGUCGAACGGAAAGGCCCUGCUUUUGUGGGGUGCUCGAGUGGCGAACGGGUGAGUAACACGUGAGUAACCUGCCCUUGACUUUGGGAUAACUUCAGGAAACUGGGGCUAAUACCGGAUAGGAGCUCCUGCUGCAUGGUGGGGGUUGGAAAGUUUCGGCGGCUGGGGAUGGACUCGCGGCUUAUCAGCUUGUUGGUGGGGUAGUGGCUUACCAAGGCUUUGACGGGUAGCCGGCCUGAGAGGGUGACCGGCCACAUUGGGACUGAGAUACGGCCCAGACUCCUACGGGAGGCAGUAGUGGGGAAUAUUGCACAAUGGGCGGAAGCCUGAUGCAGCAACGCCGCGUGCGGGAUGACGGCCUUCGGGUUGUAAACCGCUUUCGCCUGUGACGAAGCGUGAGUGACGGUAAUGGGUAAAGAAGCACCGGCUAACUACGUG
Molecule: ribosomal RNA, 468 nt
Filed under: uncultured bacterium
Lineage: Bacteria
Description: partial 16S ribosomal RNA
Rfam family: Bacterial small subunit ribosomal RNA
Source: RNAcentral